RNAcentral lists this transfer RNA (846 nucleotides) under uncultured Synechococcus sp. RNAcentral describes it as "partial contains 16S ribosomal RNA, 16S-23S ribosomal RNA intergenic spacer, and 23S ribosomal RNA". The stretch from base 285 to 357 matches the Rfam family "tRNA". Lineage: Bacteria; Bacillati; Cyanobacteriota; Cyanophyceae; Synechococcales; Synechococcaceae. The record is from RNAcentral.
UUGGAUCACCUCCUUAACAGGAGACAACACAAUGAUUUUGAUGCUGAGUAUUUUUAUUCUUAGGCCGAAAUCCUGUCACCUUAGGUCGAUCGGUACCUUCAGCUUUUUAGUUAAGAAUCAGCAGCAAUGUUGAUUGCUUGAUGGAGAUUUUCAGUUCCUAAACUUUGUCUAGGUCACACCCCAAAAAGGGAUGAGACUCCUGGGCCAUUAGCUCAGGUGGUUAGAGCGCACCCCUGAUAAGGGUGAGGUCCCUGGUUCAAGUCCAGGAUGGCCCAUUCGGUGUUGGGGGUUUAGCUCAGUUGGUAGAGCGCCUGCUUUGCAAGCAGGAUGUCAGGAGUUCGAGUCUCCUAACCUCCACUGACCGAACUUUAUCCCCGCUCCAUGUAAUGGAGUUGAGCUCGAUUGGAGUGUGAUUUAGAUGUGUCCGCUGGAUGACCCCAGCUUCCUGUCAUUCCAAGUUUUAGGUUAAAAGCCUUGAAUUUGGUUGAUAAGAUGCUGGGCUCAGAUCAGAUGAUCAAGCGAUUGAUGAUUUGAUUUGAAGUUCUAGCAGAACCUUGACAACUGCAUAGGUGAAGUCUGGAAAAACAAAGCAUCUUACAGAUGCAUUGUUUUGAGUCUGAUCUUCUGAAAGGAAGAUUAGAACCAGAACAAUGAAAAUUCUUUUGAGCAAGAGCCGAGACUCUUGAAUGUUCUUUGAUUCGUGUCGAGCGAAUCAGAGUUUGAUCUUGUUUUUAGCAAUAAAAACUUGAGAAUCUGCUUUCAACGGCGGUAAGCGUUCAGGAGGUUAAUUGGUCAAGCUACAAAGGGCUCACGGCGGAUACCUUGGCACACAGAGGCGAUGAAGGA